UACAGAGGGUGCAAGCGUUAAUCGGAAUUAUUGGGCGUAAAGCGUGCGCAGACGGUUGCGUAAGUCAGAUGUGAAAGCCCCGGGCUCAACCUGGGAAUUGCAUUUGAGACUGCGUAGCUAGGGUGCGGAAGAGGGAAGCGGAAUUUCCGGUGUAGCGGUGAAAUGCGUAGAUAUCGGAAGGAACACCACUGGCGAAGGCAGCUCGCUGGGACGUUACUGACGCUGAGACGCGAAAGCGUGGGGAGCAAACAGG
This 253-nucleotide ribosomal RNA is filed under the name uncultured bacterium. RNAcentral's name for it is "partial 16S ribosomal RNA". It matches the Rfam family "Bacterial small subunit ribosomal RNA", at positions 524 to 776 of the family's 1533-position model. The record is from RNAcentral.